RNAcentral lists this ribosomal RNA (245 nucleotides) under uncultured Prevotella sp. RNAcentral's name for it is "partial 16S ribosomal RNA". It matches the Rfam family "Bacterial small subunit ribosomal RNA", at positions 524 to 768 of the family's 1533-position model. The record is from RNAcentral. Lineage: Bacteria; Pseudomonadati; Bacteroidota; Bacteroidia; Bacteroidales; Prevotellaceae.
UACGGAAGGUCCGGGCGUUAUCCGGAUUUAUUGGGUUUAAAGGGAGCGUAGGCGGGAGCUUAAGCGUGCCGUGAAAUGCCGGUGCUCAACGUUGGCACUGCGGCGCGAACUGGGUUUCUUGAGUGCGUGGGAAGGCGGCGGAAUUCGUGGUGUAGCGGUGAAAUGCUUAGAUAUCACGAAGAACUCCGAUUGCGAAGGCAGCUGCCUGUUGCGCUACUGACGCUGAAGCUCGAAGGUGCGGGUAU